GUGGCGAACGGGUGAGUAACACGUGAGCAAUCUGCCCUUGACUCUGGGAUAACUGCGGGNAACUGUAGCUAAUACCGGAUACUUUCCUCGCUGGGCAUCCAGCGGGGAAGAAAGAAUUUCGGUCAAGGAUGAGCUCGCGGCCUAUCAGCUAGUUGGUGAGGUAAUGGCUCACCAAGGCGACGACGGGUAGCCGGCCUGAGAGGGUGACCGGCCACACUGGAACUGAGACACGGUCCAGACUCCUACGGGAGGCAGCAGUGGGGAAUAUUGCACAAUGGGCGAAAGCCUGAUGCAGCAACGCCGCGUGAGGGAUGAAGGCCUUCGGGUUGUAAACCUCUUUUAGCAGGGAAGAAGCGAAAGUGACGGUACCUGCAGAAAAAGCACCGGCUAACUACGUGCCAGCAGCCGCGGUAAUACGUAGGGUGCAAGCGUUGUCCGGAAUUAUUGGGCGUAAAGAGCUCGUAGGCGGUUUGUCACGUCUGCUGUGAAAAUCCGAGGCUCAACCUCGGACUUGCAGUGGGUACGGGCAGGCUAGAGUGCGGUAGGGGAGAAGGGAAUUCCUGGUGUAGCGGUGGAAUGCGCAGAUAUCAGGAGGAACACCAAUGGCGAAGGCACUUCUCUGGGCCGUAACUGACGCUGAGGAGCGAAAGCGUGGGGAGCGAACAGGAUUAGAUACCCUGGUAGUCCAC
This 689-nucleotide ribosomal RNA is filed under the name uncultured Microbacteriaceae bacterium. RNAcentral's name for it is "bacterial SSU rRNA". It matches the Rfam family "Bacterial small subunit ribosomal RNA", at positions 95 to 798 of the family's 1533-position model. The record is from RNAcentral. Lineage: Bacteria; Bacillati; Actinomycetota; Actinomycetes; Micrococcales; Microbacteriaceae.